CAGCACCUCAAGUGGUCAGGAUGAUUAUUGGGCCUAAAGCAUCCGUAGCCGGCUCAGUAAGUUGUCGGUUAAAUCUGUACGCUUAACGUACAGGCUGCCGGGAAUACUGCAGAGCUAGGGAGUGGGAGAGGUAGACGGUACUCGGUAGGAAGGGGUAAAAUCCUUUGAUCUAUUGAUGACCACCUGUGGCGAAGGCGGUCUACCAGAACACGUCCGACGGUGAGGGAUGAAAGCUGGGGGAGCAAACCGGAUUAGAUACCCGAGUAGUCC
Molecule: ribosomal RNA, 270 nt
Filed under: uncultured archaeon
Lineage: Archaea
Description: partial 16S ribosomal RNA
Rfam family: Archaeal small subunit ribosomal RNA
Source: RNAcentral